RNAcentral lists this ribosomal RNA (468 nucleotides) under uncultured bacterium. Its description in RNAcentral is "partial 16S ribosomal RNA". It matches the Rfam family "Bacterial small subunit ribosomal RNA", at positions 28 to 507 of the family's 1533-position model. The record is from RNAcentral.
GACGAACGCUGGCGGCGUGCUUAACACAUGCAAGUCGAACGGAAAGGCCCUGCUUUUGUGGGGUGCUCGAGUGGCGAACGGGUGAGUAACACGUGAGUAACCUGCCCUUGACUUUGGGAUAACUUCAGGAAACUGGGGCUAAUACCGGAUAGGAGCUCCUGCUGCAUGGUGGGGGUUGGAAAGUUUCGGCGGGUGGGGAUGGACUCGCGGCUUAUCAGCUUGCUGGUGGGGUAGUGGCUUACCAAGGCUUUGACGGGUAGCCGGCCUGAGAGGGUGACCGGCCACAUUGGGACUGAGAUACGGCCCAGACGCCUACGGGAGGCAGCAGUGGGGAAUAUUGCACAAUGGGCGGAAGCCUGAUGCAGCAACGCCGCGUGCGGGAUGACGGCCUUCGGGUUGUAAACCGCUUUCGCCUGUGACGAAGCGUGAGUGACGGUAAUGGGUAAAGAAGCACCGGCUAACUACGUG